AAUUAGCCUAAAUCUCUCAAACACAUCAUUCUUCUCAUUCACGCUUUCAUUCAAGCUUACAAAACCCUAAUUUUGUUCAUCGCCGACAAGCAAAUCUACCAACAUCUCUUUCGAUUUCAUUAGCAUCUGAUUUUAGGUUUAAUGGCUGAAAAUGCCGAGAGAAACAGAUUCCGGCGAAAGCUAGGGUUCCGGCGAAGUUAGUAGUGAUCUGGAGUCGUCGUCACUGAUUUUGCUUAAGGAAACGGCAUGCUCUUCUUUGUUUGUUUGGUUUUUUUAAUUUUAUUUGUUAUUUGUUACAUAUAGUCAAGAUUUUUUUUAGGUUUUGUUGAUGAAAAUGCAAAUAGAAACAAAUUCCGCCGAAAGCUAGGGUUCCGGCGAAGUUAGUAGUGAUCUGGAGUCGUCGUCCCAAUUUCGCUUAAGGAAACGACUUCGUUCUUCUACAAGGAUUGGAUUAUAAGCUACGACAAAAGCAACCACCAUUCAGUACGCAGAUCACUGAGCAGGCCUAGGUAUUGGUGACAAAGGAUGAUGAACUGAAUCCAUGUCAAGGAAAAAUUCGUCUGCCUCUAAAUGGUUACAAGAAAAAGACUACUGAUUGGCUGGAUCAACAUACCUCUGACACUAACCUACCAAGGAAAUAGAAGAUGAUUAUCGCAACCUCAUCUUUACUCUGAUUAGGUGUAAGCUCUGCAAUAAACGAUUGCAAGAAGGAUACUCAAUCAGUUGUUGGCAUGAAGAGGAUGCAACCCUUUUUGUUGGAAAGCAGAUCGAUUCUAAGUAUUUAGCUGCAAAUUUUUCUUGUAUAUGUGUCUCGAAAUCAGAUGAAUAUGCUUCUUGUACCGAUGGAUGUACUACUAGCAUAGAACCCACACAUCUUUUUUUUUUUUUUAAAGAAAAAAAAAGGAACCCACACAUCUUUUAGGUGACAAAACAUCAAGUUUGGCUCGUGUUAGGUAUAUGCAUUGGUUUUAAAGAAAUGGAGGUAUGAAAUUAAUAUUUUAAGGGUUUCUUAUCUAUGUUUUCAAACUAACAUAUUUUUUUGUAUUUUCUCUUUAUGGGGUAAAUAAAAUAAACCAGUUACUUAAUAACAGUCGAUUUCUUUGAAUAAAAUAGGAGAAUAUAUGCAAAUUUUUUUAACUUAUAUAAGGAUGUAUCAAAAAUCAACCUGAAAAUCAUUGAUGCCGAAAUCAGUCACUGACUCAAAAACAAAGUUGCAGGGCUGGAUACAACCUUUUUAGUGAAAAUACGUAGGCUACUAUCACAUAUAAACCUUUGUUUUUUAGACUAACAAAAUUUAUGUGUGUAGAAUGGGCCCAAGUACUUUGACAAGGUGAACGUGGUAAGUGUUGGUUCUCCUAAAAUCCGAACUUCAUAUGUCCAAAUUGUGCACACUUAAUUUAUGAAGGAAAUCCAAGUGGACAUUUUGAUUUUGCUUAGCAAAAUAUAAGAUUCACAAUAGAUGGCUAGCAUAUAAUCACUGCAGAUCCUCAUUACGAUAUUGGGGCAUCAGGUAUAUGAAUAUUCCAUGAAGUAAAAUUUAGUAGACCACUUUUUUAGUAAUGACUUGUGGAGGACAAUGAGUAGUUAUUGCAAAAGUCGUUUUUAGGUAGCUCGGUUGUAAAAAGCAUUCAAAAGAUGUCAAUAAACUAUGAUGGGGCUUUGAUUGCUGUUGAUUUGGAUAGUUUAUAAAUUUUAAGAUGACUAAGGUUUUUAUCUAAAGAUGAUUAAUUUUUUUAGUUGAUUAUAUUGUAGUCUUGAACAAAGGAUGGGGCUUUGAUUGCUGUUGCAACCAGUGCUACAGUGGAUAAAUAUUGGAAAAUUGGGGUUUUGAAAGACUAGAUAGUUGCAACUCAGGGUAUUUGGAUAGAAGACGGUCGUCAACGGGUUCAUUUGCAUGAAAUUUGUCUGUUGGAGUUUCGGUUACAGAAUGAAGGGAAUACUCCUUGAAACAUACUAAAGGAGAUUGUAUGGAACAAAGAUACAGAGGUUACACAGAAAUAUGUAGUGUUGGCAAAAGGAAUGUCAGCAACUGAUGGGAGUAUGGUCUAUUCAGGUGGUCGAACCAGGUACAAAGCUUUCUGCAUCAAGUACAUCUAUCUGUUGGUACAAAGUGAUAGCGUGACCUAAUGAAAGAACAUGAACAUUUUCAGUGUUAAAUUAAGGUUCAUACACAGUUUGUUUGGCAUCAUGGUGGCAAUCAGGUGUUCAUGUGUAGUGAUUUCACUGGGUGGAUUAAGUAUCGACAAACGGUUCUUGUUGAAGAAUCGGAUAUCACUUUUACGAUGAUUUGUGAUCUUCUGAUUUGUUUGCAUAAGAUAAGCUAGAACAUGCUGCGGGUAUAUGGAGGAUACGAUGGACCUCAUCCUGGUGUCAUGUCUUACAACAAAAGCUAUUUGGUGGAUGAUCGGGGUGUGGCUGAACAUGAAUAACCUACAAAACUGAUCAUCGGUUAAAGAAAUUUUGCUACAAGUCAGGAAUAUGCAGCUGAAAAAAAUAGAGGAAAGCGAUGGGCACUGUCAUGGCUACACUAUAAAAAUUUGGUUAAAUAAAAACGGGUAGAUCUUCAAGGGGGCUCACUCUCUUAUGCGAAAAGUGGUCUAAGACAUCAAGGAGAGUACUUUCUUAUGCUUAAAGCAUACAACAAAAAUGGAAAGCAUUAAUAUAGAAUAUUGGUGUAAUAUGGGUGUGAAUGUAUUAGGUGAUUUGAACAAGUUCUAUGAUGUAUGUACCGGCCUUCUAGCUAUUGGCUAAUGAUUUUUUGAGUA
This is a long non-coding RNA of Helianthus annuus (common sunflower), 2765 nucleotides long. RefSeq lists it as uncharacterized. The record is from RefSeq and is a predicted model, not a curated record. Lineage: Eukaryota; Viridiplantae; Streptophyta; Magnoliopsida; Asterales; Asteraceae. The transcript is spliced from 11 exons.